This is a long non-coding RNA of Rhincodon typus (whale shark), 305 nucleotides long. RefSeq lists it as uncharacterized. The record is from RefSeq and is a predicted model, not a curated record. The transcript is spliced from 3 exons. Lineage: Eukaryota; Metazoa; Chordata; Chondrichthyes; Orectolobiformes; Rhincodontidae.
CUGCUUAUUGUGAUGGGACUGCACCUUCUAUUUUAAGGGAACCAAUCAGUCAAGAAACUAAGGCUGGAAUGUUUCUCGUUUCUGCCAUUACCAUUGGCUGCUGCUUUGUUCUCACUUUACUGUUUCUGGUUCUGCUUCCCUUAUUGUGUUUACCUGACGUUCAUCCUCUGAGUCCUCUACUGGGCUGAGGCCCCAAAAAACUUACUGUGACAUUAGUCUGUGUGUGUCCUUGACUGGGUGUCCAUGUGCGUGGACGAGAAUGCUAUAAGGGCCAAACUGUGUGAACAGCCAUUUUAAACAAUCUG